Molecule: non-coding RNA, 182 nt
Organism: Salmo salar (Atlantic salmon)
Lineage: Eukaryota; Metazoa; Chordata; Actinopteri; Salmoniformes; Salmonidae
Source: Rfam
CUACCUUUUGUAGUAUAUUUGUUUAAAAAUCUGUUAAUAAUCUGUUAAUAUCUGAUACGUCUCCUAUCUGGGGACCAUAUAUGAAAUUGUAUUUUGGAACGGCGAGAUGGGAUAGGGGCUUGCUCUCUCCUCUGCAUGCAUCGACCUAGUAAUGCAGUAUCUCCAGGAAGGGUGCACCUCUC